GCCAGGCACAGUGACACACACCUGUAAUCCUAGCCACUCGGGAGGCUGAGGCAGGAGGAUUGCAAGCCUGAGGACAGCCUCAGCGACUUAGUGAGACCCUCAGCGACUUAGUGAGACCCUGCCUCAC
RNAcentral lists this small RNA (127 nucleotides) under Marmota monax (woodchuck). The record is from RNAcentral. Lineage: Eukaryota; Metazoa; Chordata; Mammalia; Rodentia; Sciuridae.